GCAUAUCAAUAAGCGGAGGAAAAGAAACCAACAGGGAUUGCCCUAGUAACGGCGAGUGAAGCGGCAACAGCUCAAAUUUGAAAUCUGGCCUCACGGUCCGAGUUGUAAUUUGUAGAGGAUGCUUCUGGCGACGUGCCUUCCGAGUUCCCUGGAACGGGACGCCAUAGAGGGUGAGAGCCCCGUCCGGUCGUGCACCUAGCCUCUGUGAAGCUCCUUCGACGAGUCGAGUAGUUUGGGAAUGCUGCUCUAAAUGGGAGGUAUACGUCUUCUAAAGCUAAAUACCGGCCAGAGACCGAUAGCGCACAAGUAGAGUGAUCGAAAGAUGAAAAGCACUUUGAAAAGAGGGUUAAAUAGUACGUGAAAUUGCUGAAAGGGAAGCGCUUAUGACCAGACUUGGGCUCGGUGAAUCAUCCGGCGUUCUCGCCGGUGCACUUUGCCGUCCCAGGCCAGCAUCAGUUCGCGCCGGGGGAUAAAGGUUUCGGGAAUGUAGCUCCCUCGGGAGUGUUAUAGCCCGUUGCGUAAUACCCUGGCGUGGACUGAGGUCCGCGCUCUGCAAGGAUGCUGGCGUAAUGGUCAUCAGUGACCCGUCUUGAAACACGGACCAAGGAGUCGUCUUCGUAUGCGAGUGUUCGGGUGUCAAACCCCUACGCGUAAUGAAAGUGAACGUAGGAGAGAGCUUCGGCGCAUCUCCGACCGAUCCUGAUGUUCUCGGAUGGAUUUGAGUAAGAGCAUACGGGGCCGGACCCGAAAGAAGGUGAACUAUGCCUGUAUAGGGUGAAGCCAGAGGAAACUCUGGUGGAGGCUCGCAGCGGUUCUGACGUGCAAAUCGAUCGUCAAAUAUGGGCAUGGGGCGAAAGACUAAUCGAACCUUCUAGUAGCUGGUUUCCUGCCGAA
RNAcentral lists this ribosomal RNA (894 nucleotides) under Acremonium charticola. Its description in RNAcentral is "LSU rRNA". It matches the Rfam family "Eukaryotic large subunit ribosomal RNA", at positions 38 to 965 of the family's 3401-position model. The record is from RNAcentral. Lineage: Eukaryota; Fungi; Ascomycota; Sordariomycetes; Hypocreales; Bionectriaceae.